GAUCAUUACAAGUUGACCCCGGCCCUCGGGCCGGGAUGUUCACAACCCUUUGUUGUCCGACUCUGUUGCCUUCGGGGCGACCCUGCCUCCGGGCGGGGGCCCCGGGUGGACAUUUCAAACUCUUGCGUAACUUUGCAGUCUGAGUAAAUUUAAUUAAUAAAUUAAAACUUUCAACAACGGAUCUCUUGGUUCUGGCAUCGAUGAAGAACGCAGCGAAAUGCGAUAAGUAAUGUGAAUUGCAGAAUUCAGUGAAUCAUCGAAUCUUUGAACGCACAUUGCGCCCCCUGGUAUUCCGGGGGGCAUGCCUGUUCGAGCGUCAUUUCACCACUCAAGCCUCGCUUGGUAUUGGGCGACGCGGUCCGCCGCGCGCCUCAAAUCGACCGGCUGGGUCUUUCGUCCCCUCAGCGUUGUGGAAACUAUUCGCUAAAGGGUGCCGCGGGAGGCCACGCCGUAAAACAACCCCAUUUCUAAGGUUGACCUCGGAUCAGGUAGGGAUACCCGCUGAACUUAAGCAUAUCAAUAAGCGGAGGAAAGGGCGAAUU
This 542-nucleotide ribosomal RNA is filed under the name uncultured fungus. RNAcentral describes it as "eukaryotic LSU rRNA". The stretch from base 166 to 319 matches the Rfam family "5.8S ribosomal RNA". The record is from RNAcentral. Lineage: Eukaryota; Fungi.